GCACUGAUGAUUCAGUGGUAGAAUUCUCACCUUCCGUGUCAGAGACCUGGUUUUGAUUCCUGGACAAUGCA
This 71-nucleotide transfer RNA is filed under the name Loxodonta africana (African savanna elephant). It matches the Rfam family "tRNA". Rfam says of the family: Transfer RNA (tRNA) molecules are approximately 80 nucleotides in length. Their secondary structure includes four short double-helical elements and three loops (D, anti-codon, and T loops). Lineage: Eukaryota; Metazoa; Chordata; Mammalia; Proboscidea; Elephantidae. The record is from Rfam by way of RNAcentral.